GCUGGGUUCGGUAGCCCACACCUGUAAUCCUAGACGCUCAGGAGGCUGAGGCAGGAGGAUGGCAAGUUCAAGGCCAGCUUCUGCAACUUAGUGAGACCCUGUCUCAA
This 107-nucleotide small RNA is filed under the name Marmota monax (woodchuck). Lineage: Eukaryota; Metazoa; Chordata; Mammalia; Rodentia; Sciuridae. The record is from RNAcentral.